UCUUUAUAUUGCUGAUUUGCUUUUUUUUAUAUUAUCUCGCAAUUCUAGUCGUAAGCUGCGCUCGAGUCGCUCAAAAGGUAAUCGAAGAUGCUGCAUGUCAUGCAUGCAAGAGCAUUGGCGGCUGGCUUUGAUGUGUGUGAAUGUUCGUGAGAAAAGUUACAUUGAAAUAUGAUGCCAUCGUGGUGAUAAAUCACGUCGCCACUGCACCUUUCCGCCGGACGCCUACAAAAGUCAACCGAUUACUGAUUAAAUAAUUAGGCAAACACAUACAUAUAAACAACAAGUAUCCCAGCAGCAAUAA
Molecule: long non-coding RNA, 301 nt
Organism: Rhagoletis zephyria (snowberry fruit fly)
Lineage: Eukaryota; Metazoa; Arthropoda; Insecta; Diptera; Tephritidae
Source: RefSeq, a predicted model, not a curated record